Molecule: ribosomal RNA, 644 nt
Filed under: uncultured bacterium
Lineage: Bacteria
Description: bacterial SSU rRNA
Rfam family: Bacterial small subunit ribosomal RNA
Source: RNAcentral
UUGAUCCUGGCUCAGGAUGAACGCUGGCGGCGUGCUUAACACAUGCAAGUCGAACGAUGGAUCCCGGUGCUUGCACCGGGUGAUUAGUGGCGAACGGGUGAGUAACACGUGAGUAACCUGCCCCCGACUCUGGGAUAAGCCCGGGAAACUGGGUCUAAUACCGGAUACUCACUUCCUUCCGCAUGGAGGGAAGUGGAAAGAUUCAUCGGUGGGGGAUGGACUCGCGGCCUAUCAGUUUGUUGGUGGGGUAAUGGCCUACCAAGGCGACGACAGGUAGCCGGCCUGAGAGGGUGACCGGCCACACUGGGACUGAGACACGGCCCAGACUCCUACGGGAGGCAGCAGUGGGGAAUAUUGCACAAUGGGCGAAAGCCUGAUGCAGCGACGCCGCGUGAGGGAUGACGGCCUUCGGGUUGUAAACCUCUUUCAGUAGGGAAGAAGCGAAAGUGACGGUACCUGCAGAAGAAGCGCCGGCUAACUACGUGCCAGCAGCCGCGGUAAUACGUAGGGCGCAAGCGUUAUCCGGAAUUAUUGGGCGUAAAGAGCUCGUAGGCGGUUUGUCACGUCUGCCGUGAAAGUCCGGGGCUCAAACCCCGGAUCUGCGGUGGGUACGGGCAGACUAAGUGAUGUAGGGAGACUGGGAA